CACUUGUCGUGCAUGAGCUAUUGCUGGCAAGGCGGCUGGCAGUGGAUUUACUGCCUGGCCCUGCUGACUCUGUGUGCCUAGGGUCCCCCGCUGACAGCAGCGGCCGCUGACAUUGCUGGAGAGCGGCCGAGGAGCUCAGCGCGGGGCUGGGGCAGCUGGAGCAGCUGCUGCUGCGACUCGGCUUGUGGUCCUCGACUUCUGAACAUCGGCCGUCCUUUGAGGGGACCCGAGGUAGUUGUGUCGUAUGGGUGCUGGGUGUGAUUGCAGUGAUGCUUCAGUCCAGAGAGGUACAGCAGAGACCCGGCAUUUCCCUACAGAAAMGGGUCUGCGGACGGAAGGUCCUGCACCGAGAACCAGGUCCAUGCAGAAAGCGGGUGGGCGCCUCGGCUCUCCUCAGUGGCCCGGAGGCUCUGUCCGGGGAAGAGCAGCAGUGGGAGCAAGAAAGCAGCUUAGGCUCUGUAACUAGGUGUUUUUCUGCUUUCAGCAGUUCACCUGUCAGCGGAAGGAUAUGCUUUUUAUCUGAACAAAACUCAGGUGGCUGCAUACCGGACAGCGAGCGAGAUAUGCGCGCCUCCUUCCCUGGGCUGCGCUGGGAACCAGCAGCCUGGGCAGCAGCUAAAGCGUGGCCUGACGGCCUGUGCUGGAGCCCUUGUCGUGCCGGCCCGGCAGGCACAAUGUGGCGCCUGGAUCGACGGGGCGGCCAAGAGGAGGACGAACGAAUGGACGGACGGACAUCUUCUGAGGAAAAGCCAUUGUCACACCUGUCCUGGGGGUAACACUGCAGAAAUGAGGACGCUCUUUGGGAUGUUCAAAUCAGGUUCUUCAUAAACUAAGGUUGCUCUGAGAUCCUGCAAAAAGGACUUGAUCCCAAUCAACAAGGUGGUUUGAAGAAAUAAAUGGCUUUCUGCAAAGACA
This 915-nucleotide long non-coding RNA is filed under the name Apteryx rowi (Okarito brown kiwi). RNAcentral's name for it is "lncRNA (ENSARWG00000016564.1)". Lineage: Eukaryota; Metazoa; Chordata; Aves; Apterygiformes; Apterygidae. The record is from RNAcentral.